GGGGGUGUAGCCCAGUGGUAGAGCGCUUGCCUAGCAUGUGUGAAGCCCUGGGUUCGAUUCUCAGCACCACAU
This 72-nucleotide transfer RNA is filed under the name Ictidomys tridecemlineatus (thirteen-lined ground squirrel). RNAcentral describes it as "Spermophilus tridecemlineatus (thirteen-lined ground squirrel) tRNA". It matches the Rfam family "tRNA". From Rfam's summary of the family: Transfer RNA (tRNA) molecules are approximately 80 nucleotides in length. Their secondary structure includes four short double-helical elements and three loops (D, anti-codon, and T loops). Lineage: Eukaryota; Metazoa; Chordata; Mammalia; Rodentia; Sciuridae. The record is from Rfam by way of RNAcentral.